AUAAAAAAAGGCAUUCUUCAUAAAGAAGAAUGCCUUGCCAUGAUCUCACAUGGCAAUGGGAGAGGAGAAACCGGAGGAAGAUCUUAUGGGGAAAUGUAAGUCUUCUCCGCGG
This is a regulatory RNA element of 112 nucleotides. It matches the Rfam family "ylbH leader". From Rfam's summary of the family: This family is a putative regulatory RNA structure that is found upstream of the ylbH gene in B. subtilis and related low GC Gram-positive bacteria. The record is from Rfam.